RNAcentral lists this long non-coding RNA (279 nucleotides) under Amborella trichopoda. Its description in RNAcentral is "long non-coding RNA (ATRI_LNC005166)". The record is from RNAcentral. Lineage: Eukaryota; Viridiplantae; Streptophyta; Magnoliopsida; Amborellales; Amborellaceae.
UAAUAUGUUACAGAGCCAAUCGUUCAGGAGAAUUUUGAUAGAUCUUCCUAUUAUUCCAAACUAUCUUAUGGGUUUGUAUACAAUGAGAAGUACAAGGAGGUUACAAUUACGUAAAACUAUCUUAUCUGAAAUUUGAUAGCUUUGGUGUGUCAUAAAGUACGAAAAAUUUUAUUUUGAAGUUUUAGCUCGGUCAAUAGAAUAAAUGAAACCAUCUAAUAUUAUAUCCAUUGGUCAAGAUCAAUUGUGACCAAUUUGUACAAAAAAUAAAUGGUCUCAUCG